This 908-nucleotide long non-coding RNA is filed under the name Volvox carteri. Its description in RNAcentral is "long non-coding RNA (VCAR_LNC004254)". Lineage: Eukaryota; Viridiplantae; Chlorophyta; Chlorophyceae; Chlamydomonadales; Volvocaceae. The record is from RNAcentral.
CGCUAUAGGCAUCACGUAAUAUGCAAUGGCCUUUACAUGACAGCCUAUACCUGACCUUGUUUAGGCUGUGGUGUAUACUUGCCAGGUAUAUGCAUGCGUCUACAGGUAAUGUUGUAAACAACAGUGCCUAUACAGCUGCGUGUGUACAUGAGCGCCUAUUACAAGACCGCUAUAGGCAUCACGUAAUAUGCAAUGGCCUUUACAUAACAGCCUAUACCUGACCUUGUUUAGGCUGUGGUGUAUACUUGCCAGGUAUAUGCAUGCGUCUACAGUUGAUGUUGUAAACAACAGUGCCUAUACAGCUGCGUGUGUACAUGAGCGCCUAUUACAAGACCGCUAUAGGCAUCACGUAAUAUGCAAUGGCCUUUACAUGACAGCCUAUACCUGACCUUGUUUAGGCUAUGUGGUAAACAUGACUGGUAUACAGAUGUGUCUACAUGUGAUGUUGUAAACAACAGUGCCUAUACAGGUGCGUGUGUACACGAGUGCCUAUUACAAGACUGCUAUAGGCAUCACAUAAUAGGCCUUCAUGUUUACAUAACAGCCUAUACCUGACCUUGUUUAGGCUAUGCUGUAUACUUGCCAGGAUGUUGUUUACAUGUGUCAUUUGUGUACAGAAAUAUAUGGGAUGCAUAGAAGCUCAGGGGAUUACAAUUUUCACAUACUCUUCAUACGUUACUAUCACACAUCACACAAGGAAUCUCAGCUCUCAGCCCACAAUCCCUCAGUCUGCUUUACUAAAUGAAUAAUCCACAUGUUAUCUGGCCUAUUAAUGCUGCAACUCCAAAACACAACCAAAACACUUAACAGAAUAAAUUCUCCGACACUAUCAGCACAACACAAACAGUCAUUUCCUACUCCCAUGAGCCCCAAUUGAUCAAUCCUCCUCUACCCGGUCGUUAUUAUCC